Molecule: long non-coding RNA, 15149 nt
Filed under: Hordeum vulgare
Lineage: Eukaryota; Viridiplantae; Streptophyta; Magnoliopsida; Poales; Poaceae
Description: long non-coding RNA (HVUL_LNC011314)
Source: RNAcentral
CCACUUCCACGUUAACCGACCAUGCACGCCGAUCAGCUAGUACCGGCGGUUGUCGCCACCGUGGCCGUGCUGUGCCUGCUCAUCGCCGGCCGUGCGGACGGCCAGGACGAGUACAUCCCUGCUGCCGCGGGGAGCCAAGAGGUGGAGCCGCAGCCGGGGCUGCUGCCGGGGGCCUCCCUGGCCAAGGCGUUCACAGGCGGCUACUUCCCGCAGCAGCCCAAGGCCGAGCCAGAGCCGGAGCAGACGACCACGGAACCGGAGCCGGAGCCGGAGCAGACGACCAGGGAACCGGAGCCGGUCACGCCCACGCGCGACCAGGGCGAUUUCUACCGCACCGGCGUGACCCCGACCGCGCCGGAGCCGCCGGCGAUGCUAACCUCCCCGGAGACGUGGGAGAAGCCAUGGACGCCAUUUGUACCGCAGACGUCGGCGUUUGUUCCCAAGACGCCGGCGUAUGUGCCCAAGACGCCAUAAUUACCAUGGGCCUUAAAAUUAUUCCCUCCAUCAUGGUUUAAAAGCGCGUGUUUGAAAAUUCUCUCGAACCUAUGUGGUUAUUGAUUGACUGUGAGAUGGACAGAAAAAUAGCAUUCACAAUCGCAUGCAUAUAAAAGUAGUACUACAACGGAAUACUAAUUAGCUGCUAAGAGUAAAUGCAAUGCGCCUUAAACCUUGUUUAUUAUGGAAAUGAACGUAAAUUUAACCGUGCCUUCUAAACUGUGACGAAGGAAAUACAGACGAUGUAUCGAGGCUGAUGGGUCUUUUAAACCCGAACGAAAAUAGUAUUUAAUAGGUCUAAUCAUAGAAUAUACAUGUGCAUCAUCAUCACAUCAGUACCAAUAGUAACAUAAAACAUGACCUACAAAGAUAGACGAUCAUGAGGCAACACGAUAGAGAGAUGGAACUACUCCUCCGGUUUAGCAACAAUGAAACCGAGAAAGAUAAAUCUCCCAUCACGUCCAUGGCGGAGCACGAAGAUCAUCAUGUCUUCAAUAUCUAUGUCGUACAUACGACUACUUUGCUCCACCCAUUAAGAACUAUGCUUCCAUCUCCUUGUCACGAAUACGAGUAUGAAGUCGAACCGAGAUGUUAACACUAGGAUGGAACACAAUGGUUAUAGCUCUUCAUUUGCACUCAUCUCCUUAGGCACAGUAUUCACUCUGUAAUAAGCUAUCAAAAUAUUUGUAAAUAAGGUCACUUAAAUAUAGCAUCCGGAUGAAAUGUGAUUAUUUAAAUCUAGCUGUAAAUAUGGUUACUUAAAAUUAAUUGCUGGAUAUUUGCCAGAAUCAUUACACGGAUGAGUUAUUGUAUAUCACUAGCAAAAAGACCCGUGCGUUGCAACGGGAGAAAAAAAUCACCAUCUUCAAUGGCAAUGACCAUAUUAUGUUCAUAUCUCAUCGCAUGAUUUCAAAAACUUGUUCACAAAUGUAAGAAAAUAUUUCUUUUAUUUUAUUUUAUUCACAAUUCACAAGUUGAAACAAUGUUCAUAUUUUAAAAAAAAUAUCAUGGUUAUCAAAAAACUUGGUAACUCAAAGAAUUAUUCUGAAUUUCAAGAAACAUUUUAAAAAAUAUAGUAUAAUAUUCCGAUCCAUCAUCACAAUUAAUUCUUCAAAAUUCACUCAGGUAUAUAAUCUGAAAGACUCAGAAGCAUUACUAUUGAACGCCAUACAUUCGAUCUUUCGUGAACAUUUUUACAAAUUUGGGAAUAUUUUUAAAAUCAAGAACAUUCUUUACUAUUUAUAAACAUUUUUUUAAAAUUACAAAUAAUAUUUUAUAUUACAAACUGUUUUCAAGUAUUUUCUUGGGAAUUGGCGAAUAAUUCAUUUUUUGAAUUAUCCAACAUUUUUUUAAUUGCAUUAAAGAAAUUGCUAAAAAUGAUGGACUUUUUUUAUUCACGAAUGUUUUCUCCAAAAUUACGAAUUUUUUAAUAUGCAAUUUUUUUUACAAAAAUCCUGAACAAUUUUUUGAAUUCGCAAACAUUUUAUAUUUUAUCAAACAUUUAUGUAAAUAUUUAUUUUUUAAUUUCGAAAGUUUUUGUUGAUUUAUUUGAAAUAUAAAAAAUAAAAAGUAACAGAUAAAUAUUAAUUAAAAAACUAAAAAAAAGGCACCUGCCCAUGGGCUGGCCCAAAUGGGCGUGGUGCUUAUUUUCCAACGAGCAGAGCGUAGUAUAGCUGGUCCCUAUGCUUGGGCCGGCCCAUGCGAGAAUUACCUGCAAAACGUUUUUUAUAACUUAUAGGUGGCAUUGAUGGGUAAUUUUAAAGAAUUUUAGAGGCAAUUUUAAUAACGUACCACAGAAGCAAUAGGUGCUUUAUUAAUAGGGAUAGAUUGCUCAAACGUACUUAGAGGUGACGAUUAGGUUUUCCACCUAGUUCGAGGGAUAUCUCCACACGUACUUCGAACUGAUAUAUUUUGACAACUUCUUUCCAAAUACGUCAUGUGAAAAAUGUCUUAUCUUUUUAGUUCUAGACCCUGCAUACUCGAAAACAAAAGCUCUCUCAUGUCUUAGAUCUAUUUAUAACUUUACUCAUAUGCACUAUAACCCGUAGCAAUUACCUUUGUUUACACGUAUGAGGAAUUAGCAUGUGUGUUUGUCCACGUUCUUCUUAUCUUCUUCCUUUGGCAGUUAGGCCAUCCAUUAUUGUUGGCAAUAACAUGGUUUAGGACAUCCAUUUCAAUGUGGUUGGUGUUAGACAUUGUAUUACGUAUACACAUGGUAUAUGUAUAAACCAUGUGUAUUACGAUUGUAGGCAUGCGUGUGUGGUUUAAACUAGGGAUAUCUUGUUAGGGUCUAUCUCUUGUGUUUAACCUUGUAGAUAGAGAUAGAUCCUAACUCCUUGUUGUAAUCUCCUAGGUCUUGUGCCUUUAUUAACACGCACGUGUCCCUGCUAAACGCAUACGCUUCAGGCCUUUCUAUUCUCACAUGGUAUCAGAGCCUAUCUCGUUGCAAAACGGUUUGAACAAUGUUAUGGUCUUGAUUAUGAGGAUACUUUAAAUCCCGUUGUUAAAGCCGCCACCAUCAGAUUGGUUCUGUCUAUAGCUGUCUCUAGGAAUUGGUGUAUGCGACAGUUGGACGUUAAGAACGCGUUUUUUGCAUGGUGUUCUGGAAGAGAAUGUUUUUAUGCGACAGCCACCUGGGUAUACAGAUUCAAGGUUUCCGCACUUGGUCUGUAAACUGGAUAAAGCUCUGUAUGGUCUCAAACAGGCUCCCCGUGCAUGGUACUCUCGCUUGUCUUUCAAGCUUCAGUCUCUUGGUUUUCAACCCUCCAAGAGUGAUACCUCACUGUUUUUUUAUUCUCGGAGAGGGGUGACUAUCUUUAUGCUCAUAUAUGUGGAUGACAUUAUUGUUACUAGUUCCUCUGUACAAGCAGUUGAAGCCCUCCUCAGUGAUCUUCGCAUGGACUUUGCACUCAAAGAUCUUGGAUCCCUCCAUUAUUUUCUUGGUAUUGAGGUAACUUCUACUGAUAAUGGUAUUGCUUUAUCUCAAGGGAAAUAUUUGCUUGAUUUGCUUCAACGAGUCAAUAUGAAUGGUUGCAAACCUGUCAGUACUCCUUUGUCUACUUCUGAGAAGUUGUCUUUGUUUGAUGGACAUCCUCUUGGAGAUGGAGAUUCUACCAACUAUCGCAGUGUUGUUGGUGCUUUGCAAUACUUAACUCUUACUAGACCAGAUAUUUGUUGUUCGGUCAACAAGGUAUGUCAAUUCUUGCAUGCUCCAACCUCUGUUCACUGGACGGCAGUCAAACGUGUACUUCGUUAUUUACAAGGCACUAUCACCCAUGGUCUGCGUAUAUCUAAGUCUCAUUCCAUGUUAGUCAGCGCAUUCUCUGAUGCAGAUUGGGCUGGUUGCCCUGAUGACAGAAAGUCUACUGGUGGUUUUGCUGUUUUUGUUGGUAGUAAUCUUGUGUCUUGGACUGCACGAAAGCAACCUACAGUUUCUCGCUCCAGCACAGAGGCUGAGUACAAAGCACUUGCUAAUGCUACUGCCGAGGUAAUAUGGGUAUAGAACCUUUUGACUGAGCUGGGUAUUCCUCAUCCUAAGUCUUUCUCCCUAUGGUGUGAUAAUUUAGGAGCUACAUACUUAUCUGCAAAUCCUAUUUUUCAUGCACGGACAAAGCAUAUUGAAAUUGAUUAUCACUUUGUCCGUGAGAGAGUGGCUCAGAAACUGCUACACAUACGGUUUAUUCCCACUGGUGAUCAAUUGGCUGAUGGCUUUACUAAACCUCUUACUCUUCGCCAGAUGGAAGUUUUUCGUCGCAAUCUCAACUUGGACAAGUUGUGAUUGAGGGGGAGUGUUAGACAUUGUAUUACGUAUACACAUGGUAUAUGUAUAAACCAUGUGUAUUACGAUUGUAGGCAUGCGUGUGUGGUUUAAACUAGGGAUAUCUUGUUAGGGUCUACCUCUUGUGUUUAACCUUGUAGAUAGAGAUAGAUCCUAACUCCUUGUUGUAAUCUUCUAGGUCUUGUGCCUUUAUUAACACGCACGCGUCCCUGCUAAACGCAUACACUUCAAGCCUUUCUAUUCUCACAGUUGGUUCGAAAAAUAGCAGUGGCCACCAAUCCAUGCCGAAAUUAGCAUCUCUAUCCCGGUACAUAAACACGUACGCGCCAGCAUGCAAAAAAUUCUAAACCACCCACUUCCACGUUAACCGACCAUGCACGCCGAUCAGCUAGUACCGGCGGUCGUCGCCGUCGUGGCCGUGUUGUGCCUGCUCAUCGCCGGCCGCGCGGAUGGCCAGGACGAGUACGUCCCUGCUACCGCGGGGAGCCAAGAGGUGGAGCCGCAGCCGGGGCUGCUGCCGGGGGCCUCCCUGGCCAAGGCGUUCACAGGCGGCUACUUCCCGCAGCAGCCCAAGGCCGAGCCGGAGCCGGAGCAGACGACCACGGAACCGGAGCCGGAGCCGGAGCAGACGACCAGGGAACCGGAGCCGGUCACGCCCACGCGCGACCAGGGCGAUUUCUACCGCACCGGCGUGACCCCGACCGCGCCGGAGCCGCCGGCGAUGCUAACCUCCCCAGAGACGUGGGAGAAGCCGUGGACGCCAUUUGUACCCAAGACGUCGGCGAUUGUUCCCAAGACGCCGACGUAUGUGCCCGAGACGCCGGCGUUUGUGCCCAAGACGCCAUAAUUACCAUGGGCCUUAAAAUUAUUCCCUCCAUCAUGGUUUAAAAGCGCGUGUUUGAAAAUUCUUUCGAACCUAUGUGGUUAUUGAUUGACUGUGAGAUGAGCUGAAAAAUAGCAUUCACAAUCAAAUGCAUAUAAAAGUAGUACAACGAAAUACUAAUUAGCUGCUAAGAGUAAAUUCAAUGCGCCUUAAACCUUGUUUAUUGUGAAAAUGCACGUAAAUUUAACCGUGCCUUCUAAACUGUGACGAAGGAAAUAUAAACGAUGUAUCGAGGCUGACGGGUCUUUUAAACCCGAAAGGAAGUAGUAUUUAAUAGGUCUGAUCGUAGAACAUAUAUGUGCAUCAUCAUCACAUCAGAACCAAUAGUAACAUAAAACAUGACCUACAAAGAUGGACGAUCAUGAGGCAACACGAUAGAGAGACAGAACUACUCAUCCUCCGGUUUAGCAACAAUGAAACCGAGAAAGAGAAAUCUCCCAUCACGUCCAUGGUGGAGCACGAAGAUCAUCAUGUCUUCAAUAUCUAUGUCGUACAUACGACUACUUUGCUCCACCCAUUAAAACCAAUAUUUCCAUCUCCUUGUCACGAAUACGAGUAUGAAGUCGAACCGAGAUGUUAACACUAGGAUGGAGCACAAUGGUUAUAGCUCUUCAUUUGCACUCAUCUCCUUAGGCACAGUAAGUUGUGGGAGUAUCUGGUGAGAGAACACAAUUUGAACACUUUAAGGAAUCUAGAUAAUUGCCGGAGUAUCUGAAGAUAAUGAGUAUGUUGUCAAUAUUGGCCUUGUUCAAACAGUAUUGCGGGGGCAUGUAGGAAUGAUCUCUCGGUCCAGCAUUGUAACCAUUCACGAGCCUUCAAAUUUGAUCAACAAAGCCGAUGGCAAACCUCAUCUCUUCCUAGCUUACUCAUCUUCCGUCAUUAACCUCCAUAUUUUCUAUAAAGUGUUUUGUUACAGUAUUCACUCUGUAAUAAGCUAUCAAAAUAUUUGUAAAUAAGAUCACUUAAAUAUAGCAUCCGGAUGAAAUGUGAUUAUAUAAAUCUAGCUGUAAAUAUGGUUACUUAAAAUUAAUUGCUGGAUAUUUGCCAGAAUCAUUACACGGAUGAGUUAUUGUAUAUCAUUGCUCAAACGUAGACGAUUAGGUUUUCCACCUAGUCCGAGGGGCAUCUCUACACGUACUUCGAACUGAUAUAUUUUGACAAAUUCUUUCCAAAUACGUCAUGUGAAAAAUGUCUUAUCUUUUUAGUUCCUGACCCUGCAUACUUGAAAACAAAAGCUCUCUCCUGUCUUAGAUCUAUUUAUAACUUUACUCAUAUGCACUAUAACCCGUAGCAAUUACCUUUGUUUACACGUAUGAGGAAUUAGCGAAACACACGUUCUUCAGUUAGGUCAUCCAUUAUUGUUGGCAAUAACAUGGUUUAGGACAUCCAUUUCAAUGUGGUUGGUUCGAAAAAUAGCAGUGGCCAUCAAUCCAUGCCGAAAUUAGCAUCUCUCUCCCGGUACAUAAACAGCGUACGCACCAGCAUGCAAAAAAUUCUAAACCACCCACUUCCACGUUAACCGACCAUGCACGCCGAUCAGCUAGUACCGGCGGUCGUCGCCGCCGUGGCCGUGUUGUGCCUGCUCAUCGCCGGCCGCGCGGACGGCCAGGACGAGUACGUCCCUGCUGCCGCGGGGAGCGAAGAGGCGGUGGAGCCGCAGCCGGGGACCGCCGCAGCCGGCGGCGAGGAGUACGUCCCGCAGCCGGGGUUGCUGCCGGGGGCCUCCCUAGCCAAGGCGUUCACCGGCGGCUACUUCCCGCAGCAGCCCAAGGCCGAGCCGGAGCCGGAGCAGACGACCACGGAACCGGAGCCGGAGCCGGAGCAGACGACCAGGGAACCGGAGCCGAUCACGCCCACGCGCGACCAGGGCGAUUUCUACCGCACCGGCGUGACGCCGACCGCGCCUGAGCCGCCUGCGAUGCUAACCUCGCCGGAGACGUGGGAGAAGCCGUGGACGCCAUUUGUACCCAAGACGCCGUCGUAUGUGCCCCAGACGCCGGCGUUUGUUCCCAAGACGCCGUCGUAUGUGCCCCAGACGCCGGCGUAUGUGCCCCAGACGCCGGCGUUUGUGCCCCAGACGCCUGCGUACGUGCCCAAGACGCCGGCGUACGUGCCCCAGACGCCGGCGUACGUGCCCCAGACGCCGGCGUAUGUGCCCCAGCAGCAGAGUGGCGGCGGCGGAUCGUACGCUGGCGGGGGCGGCAACAAGCAGGUGGACGACGACGGGGAGCCGGUGGACGGGCUGAGCCCCAAGGCCAUCGACAACAUCCUCAAGGAGCACAACGCUUUCCGCGCCAAGGAGCACGUGCCCCCUCUCACGUAAGCUAGCUACCACUACUAGACAAUGCAUGCAUGCAUGCAUCCCGCGGCGGCCGGAGACGAUGAGGAUGACAACUCCGGCGAAGCUGAUGGGAUGGAUGGAUGCAGGUGGAACGCGACGGUGGCGCAGUACGCGCAGCAGUACGCGAACAAGCGCAAGGGGGACUGCGCGCUGAAGCACUCGACGGGGCCGUACGGGGAGAACCUCAAGUACGGGGAGGGCAAGGCGUGGACGUGGCGCCACACCGUCGACGAGUGGAGCGAGGAGAAGAAGAACUACCACUACGGCUCCAACUCCUGCGACGCCGGCAAGCAGUGCGGCCACUACACCGCCGUCGUCUGGAAGGGCACCACCGGCGUCGGCUGCGGCCGCGUCACCUGCACCACCGGCGACACGCUCAUGGUCUGCAGCUACUACCCGCCUGGGAACUACGACGGCGAGAAGCCAUACUAAUAAUAAUCCAUCUUAUCAAUCGGUUAAUUAACUUAUUAAUUAUUACUUCUUUCUCAAGUAGUACGUAGUACUACUCAGGUAGUACAAUGCAUUUUUGUCUUAAUCUUUCUUGCACAUACAUAAUAUGUGCAUAAGUUAGCAAUCUUUUUCCUAACAAAUUAAGCCUCGCAGCUGCUGCAUGCAUGCUGUAGAAAAAUAGUACCAGGUACUGUAUUUUGUUUUUUUUGAGCUUUACCAGGUACUGUAUUUCGUUGGCAAGAACAGCUUAUGAUGUAUAUUUUUUUUUACCGAAAUAAUGUGCUUUGUUUUUUGGCAGUAGAGAGAAUACUUACUCUCCUACGAAAGUAGUUACUUUUAUGCAACAAUUGAAAGAGGCAUGCGGUCCUAUAGCUUUGUAAAUUGAAUCCUCUUUUCAAGAAAAAUGGUCGAGUUGUUUUUUUCUGACUUUAAGGAAGACCUUUCAUCCAUCGACCGGAAAGAGAUUCAUACAAGCCGGACAGAAACAUUUACAUUUUGAAUAUGUUUUAAUUAAAAACUAAAACUAUGUGCACGGUUCGGCCUCGCGAAGUUCCAUUUCUAUGACACGGAUAUGCUACGCUAGUCUACGGCCGGUCACGAUGGAUUCUUUUAUUUUCUCCAUAUCCGACAGCCCAGUCAUCGCACCGUCGGGGCCCUGGAGAUACGUUCUUCCUCCUUAAUUAUCUUCUCCAUGUCCGGCUACGCCGUUCAUCAGAGUGGACAAGCACGGCUAGAGGGAAAAUGAUAUGACUUUUUAAUAGGCAUUUCAUAAUGAAUGCUAUCAAGUUGACAAAUUAAGAUGCAUAAUGUAAUAGUAUGCGUUCUUUGGUAUUAUGUCGAUUUUUAGUAAAUAGUUAUAUAACGCCAUUUUUUAAAAUGAGUUGUAAAAUGUUAGCACUUCUAGCUCUUACAUAAUAAGAGCAUCUACGAUCGGACCCAUAUAUCCGUCGGACAGGUUGUCCGGUCAGUAACCGGUUAUAAAAACACGAUCCAACCGGAUGUUAGCACUUCUAGCUCUUACAUAAUAAGAGCAUCUACGAUCGAACCCAUAUAUCCGUCGGACAGGUCGUCCGGUCAGUAACCGGUUAUAAAAACACGAUCCAACCGGAUCUCUCAUAUCCUUCUCAAACGUCCGUACUGACCGGCACCUUUCAUAUUCAUCUCAAAUAUAAUGAUGAUAUGAGGGGCUCGCGGACGCCCCGAACAAACCCGACCAGUCAACUAAGUAGGGCACGACUCCAUCCGGGACCACAUUUUCUCUUUCUUUAUUCAUUCUUUUUUUUCUUUUAUUCUCCAUCAAUCACGUGUAAGUGACCAAGUGAGCAGACAUAUAAAAAAAAUAUAAUUAUACGGACAAAAAUAAAGGUUUAAAAUAAACACGCCCGGUCAUUAAUCGGACGCAUCGACGGAUGAAUAAUUGGUCAUAUUUGCUAUGGCAGGCUCGUAGAUGCUCUAAGCUGGAUCAUUGAAUAAUCAUAUGACAUACGAUUAAAAGGACGUUGCUCCCGAUUGAGGACUGUGCUAGUGGUUUGUAAAAAAUAUUAUCUUUAAUUCUCUUUUUUUUUCCAGUGGUCACCUGUUGUGGUACUACCAAAUGUGGUAUAUGAAAUCCUAUUUAACCCUCAUGUUGCAAGGUUAAUUCCGAAAUUAGUUUUGUCAUUUUCCAUCCACAACCUUGGUGGGGCUAGAUGCCCCUAGCUUGCCCCUAGCUUGCCCCUAGCUUGCCCCUUGGUGUAGUAGGAGGCAGUGCAUGCCCUAGUCCGUGUCAUCCCAAGGUCCGGUCCGGUCGAUGGAGCGCCUGCAGAUCGAUGCAUGGAGCAAGAGACAGUACUGCUAGCAUACACAUAACGCAUGGCUUUUUGCGUAGCUCCGUGCAUGUAGCUGCGCCAGCGAAGUGACACGACGCAUGCAAGCUAGUCGUGGAAAGACGAGCAGCCAAAGCUAGCUGGUGGCCGGAGCAGUAGACACAUCAAGUGCAGGUGGUUCAGGCAGGGCCUCUGGUCGUCCUCCCCUCUGCUUCACUUCACCUCACCUCUCUCUUCUCUGCCUUCCCUCCCACCCGAUGGCGCGCCGCCGCCAUGCCGUCGUGGUCGUCCUCUUCCUCGUGAUCCUCGCCUCCAGCGCCGCCGCCACCGAGGUGCGCGCGUAGCACCCUCGUCGUAAUUAAUCAUGCAUGCUAGAUUGCGCGCGAGCUGGUGGUUUGCUGAUCCUCUCCCNNNNNNNNNNNNNNNNNNNNNNNNNNNNNNNNNNNNNNNNNNNNNNNNNNNNNNNNNNNNNNNNNNNNNNNNNNNNNNNNNNNNNNNNNNNNNNNNNNNNGGAUAUUUGCCAGAAUCAUUACACGGAUGAAUUAUUGUAUAUCACUAGCAAAAAAGGCCCGUGCGUUGCAACGGGAGAAAAAACCACCAUCUUCAAUGGCAAUGACCAUAUUAUGUUCAUAUCUCAUCGCAUGAUUUCGAAAACUUGUUCACAAAUGUAAGAAAUAUUUCUUUAUUUAUUUUAUUCACAAUUCACAAGUUGAAACAAUGUUCAUAUUUAAAAAUAUCAUGGUUAUCAAAAACUUGGUAACUCAAAGAAUUAUUCUGAAUUUCAAGAAACAUUUUAAAAAUAUAGUAUAAUAUUCCGAUCUAUCAUCACAAUUAAUUCUUCAAAAUUCACUCAGGUAUAUAAUCUGAAAGACUCAGAAGCAUUACUAUUGAACGCCAUACAUUCGAUCAUUCGUGAACAUUUUUACAAAUUUGGGAAUAUUUUUAAAAUCAAGAACAUUUUUUACUAUUUAUAAAUAUUUUUUAAAAAUUACAAAUAAUAUUUUAUAUUACAAACUUUUUUCUAGUAUUUUCUUGGGAAUUGGCGAAUAAUUCAUUUUUUGAAUUGUCCAACAUUUUUUUAAUUGCAUUAAAGAAAUUGCUAAAAAUGAUGGACUUUUUUUAUUCACGAAUGUUUUCUCCAAAAUUACGAAUUUUUUAAUAUGCAAAUUCUUUUACAAAAAUCCUGAACAAUUUUUGAAUUCGCAAACAUUUUAUAUUUUAUCAAACAUUUAUGUAAAUAUUUAUUUUUUAAUUUCAAAAGUUUUUGUUGAUUUAUUUGAAAUAUAAAAAAUAAAAAGUAACAGAUAAAUAUUAAUUAAAAACUAAAAAAACAGGCACCUGCCCAUGGGCUGGCCCAAAUGGGCGUGGUGCUUAUUUUCCAACAAGCAGAGCGUAGUAUAGCUGGUCCCUAUGCUUGGGCCGGCCCAUGCGAGAAUUACCUCCAAAACGUUUUUUAUAACUUAUAGGUGGCAUUGAUGGGUAAUUUUAAAGAAUUUUAGAGGUAAAUUUAAUGACGUACCACAGAAGCAAUAGGUGCUUUAUUAAUAGGGAUAGAUUGCUCAAACGUACUUAGAGGUGACGAUUAGGUUUUCCACCUAGUUCGAGGGAUAUCUCCACACGUACUUCGAACUGAUAUAUUUUGACAACUUCUUUCCAAAUACGUCAUGUGAAAAAUGUCUUAUCUUUUUAGUUCUUGACCCUGCAUACUCGAAAACAAAAGCUCUCUCCUGUCUUAGAUCUAUUUAUAACUUUACUCAUAUGCACUAUAACCCGUAGCAAUUACCUUUGUUUACACGUAUGAGGAAUUAGCAUGUGUGUUUGUCCACGUUCUUCUUACCUUCUUCCUUUGGCAAUUAGGCCAUCCAUUAUUGUUGGCAAUAACAUGGUUUAGGACAUCCAUUUCAAUGUGGUUGGUGUUAGACAUUGUAUUACGUAUACACAUGGUAUAUGUAUAAACCAUGUGUAUUACGAUUGUAGGCAUGCGUGUGUGGUUUAAACUAGGGAUAUCUUGUUAGGGUCUAUCUCUUGUGUUUAACCUUGUAGAUAGAGAUAGAUCCUAACUCCUUGUUGUAAUCUCCUAGGUCUUGUGCCUUUAUUAACACGCAUGUGUCCCUGCUAAACGCAUACGCUUCAAGCCUUUCUAUUCUCACAUGGUAUCAGAGCCUAUCUCGUUGCAAAACGGUUUGAACAAUGUUAUGGUCUUGAUUAUGAGGAUACUUUAAAUCCCGUUGUUAAAGCCGCCACCAUCAGAUUGGUUCUGUCUAUAGUUGUCUCUAGGAAUUGGUGUAUGCGACAGUUGGACGUUAAGAACGCGUUUUUGCAUGGUGUUCUGGAAGAGAAUGUUUUUAUGCGACAGCCACCUGGGUAUACAGAUUCAAGGUUUCCGCACUUGGUCUGUAAACUGGAUAAAGCUCUGUAUGGUCUCAAACAGGCUCCCCGUGCAUGGUACUCUCGCUUGUCUUUCAAGCUUCAGUCUCUUGGUUUUCAACCCUCCAAGAGUGAUACCUCACUGUUUUUUUAUUCUCGGAGAGGGGUGACUAUCUUUAUGCUCAUAUAUGUGGAUGACAUUAUUGUUACUAGUUCCUCUGUACAAGCAGUUGAAGCCCUCCUCAGUGAUCUUUGCAUGGACUUUGCACUCAAAGAUCUUGGAUCCCUCCAUUAUUUUCUUGGUAUUGAGGUAACUUCUACUGAUAAUGGUAUUGCUUUAUCUCAAGGGAAAUAUUUGCUUGAUUUGCUUCAACGAGUCAAUAUGAAUGGUUGCAAACCUGUCAGUACUCCUUUGUCUACUUCUGAGAAGUUGUCUUUGUUUGAUGGACAUCCUCUUGGACAUGGAGAUUCUACCAACUAUCGCAGUGUUGUUGGUGCUUUGCAAUACUUAACUCUUACUAGACCAGAUAUUUGUUGUUCGGUCAACAAGGUAUGUCAAUUCUUGCAUGCUCCAACAUCUGUUCACUGGACGGCAGUCAAACGUGUACUUCGUUAUUUACAAGGCACUAUCACCCAUGGUCUGCGUAUAUCUAAGUCUCAUUCCAUGUUAGUCAGCGCAUUCUCUGAUGCAGAUUGGGCUGGUUGCCCUGAUGACAAAAAGUCUACUGGUGGUUUUGCUGUUUUUGUUGGUAGUAAUCUUGUGUCUUGGACUGCACGAAAGCAACCUACAGUUUCUCGCUCCAGCACAGAGGCUGAGUACAAAGCAAUUGCUAAUGCUACUGCCGAGGUAAUAUGGGUAUCGAACCUUUUGACUGAGCUGGGUAUUCCUCAUCCUAAGUCUGCCUCCCUAUGGUGUGAUAAUUUAGGAGCUACAUACUUAUCUGCAAAUCCUAUUUUUCAUGCAAGGACAAAGCAUAUUGAAAUUGAUUAUCACUUUGUCCGUGAGAGAGUGGCUCAGAAACUGCUACACAUACGGUUUAUUCCCACUUGUGAUCAAUUGGCUGGUGGCUUUACUAAACCUCUUACUCUUCGCCAGAUGGUAGUUUUUCGUCGCAAUCUCAACUUGGACAAGUUGUGAUUGAGGGGGGGUGUUAGACAUUGUAUUACGUAUACACAUGGUAUAUGUAUAAACCAUGUGUAUUACGAUUGUAGGCAUGCGUGUGUGGUUUAAACUAGAGAUAUCUCAUUAGGGUCUAUCUCUUGUGUUUAACCUUGUAGAUAGAGAUAGAUCCUAACUCCUUGUUGUAAUCUCCUAGGUCUUGUGCCUUUAUUAACACGCACGCGUCCCUGCUAAACGCAUACGCUUCAAGCCUUUCUAUUCUCACAGUUGGUUCGAAAAAUAGCAGUGGCCACCAAUCCAUGCCGAAAUUAGCAUCUCUCUCCCGGUACAUAAACACGUACGCGCCAGCAUGCAAAAAAUUCUAAACCACCCACUUCCACGUUAACCGAUCAUGCACGCCGAUCAGCUAGUACCGGCGGUCGUCGCCGCCGUGGUCGUGUUGUGCCUGCUCAUCGCCGGACGCGCGGACGGCCAGGACGAGUACGUCCCUGCUGCCGCGGGGAGCCAAGAGGUGGAGCCGCAGCCGGGGCUGCUGCCGGGGGCCUCCCUGGCCAAGGCGUUCACAGGCGGCUAUUUCCCGCAGCAGCCCAAGGCCGAGCCGGAGCCGGAGCAGACGACCACGGAACCCGAGCAGACGACCAGGGAACCGGAGCCGGUCACGCCCACGCGCGACCAGGGCGAUUUCUACCGCACCGGCGUGACCCCGACCGCGCCGGAACCGCCGGCGAUGCUAACCUCCCCAGAGACGUGGGAGAAGCCGUGGACGCCAUUUGUACCCAAGACGUCGGCGAUUGUUCCCAAGACGCCGGCGUAUGUGCCCCAGACGCCGGCGUUUGUGCCCAAGACGCCAUAAUUACCAUGGGCCUUAAAAUUAUUCCCUCCAUCAUGGUUUAAAAGCGCGUGUUUGAAAAUUCUUUCGAACCUAUGUGGUUAUUGAUUGACUGUGAGAUGAGCUGAAAAAUAGCAUUCACAAUCGCAUGCAUAUAAAAGUAGUACAACGAAAUACUAAUUAGCUGCUAAGAGUAAAUGCAAUGCGCCUUAAACCUUGUUUAUUGUGAAAAUGCACGUAAAUUUAACCGUGCCUUCUAAACUGUGACGAAGGAAAUAUAAACGAUGUAUCAAGGCUGACGGGUCUUUUAAACCCGAACGGAAGUAGUAUUUAAUAGGUCUGAUCGUAGAACAUCUAUGUGCAUCAUCAUCACAUCAGUAUCAAUAGUAACAUAAAACAUGACCUACAAAGAUGGACCAUCAUGAGGCAACACGAUAGAGAGACAGAACUACUCAUCCUCCGAUUUAGCAACAAUGAAACCGAGAAAGAGAAAUCUCCCAUCACGUCCAUGGCGGAGCACGAAGAUCAUCAUGUCUUCAAUAUCUAUGUCGUACAUACGACUACUUUGCUCCACCCAUUAAAACCAAUAUUUCCAUCACCUUGUCGCGAAUACGAGUAUGAAGUCGAACCGAGAUGUUAACACUAGGAUGGAGCACAAUGGUUAUAGCUCUUCAUUUGCACUCAUCUCCUUAGGCACAGUAAGUUGUGGGAGUAUCCGGUGAGAGAACACAAUUUGAACACCUUAAGGAAUCUAGAUAAUUGCCGGAGUAUCUGAAGAUAAUGAGAGUAGAUAUAAUUCUAACCAUGAGUAUGUUGUCAAUAUUGGCCUUGUUCAAACAGUAUUGCUGGGGCAUGUAGGAAUGAUCUCUCGGUCCAGCAUUGUAACCAUUCACGAGCCUUCAAAUUUGAUCAACAAAGCCGAUGGCAAACCUCAUCUCUUCCUAGCUUACUCAUCUUCCGUCAUUAACCUCCAUAUUUUCUAUAAAGUGUUUUGUUACAGUAUUCACUCUGUAAUAAGCUAUCAAAAUAUUUGUAAAUAAGGUCACUUAAAUAUAGCAUCCGGAUGAAAUGUGAUUAUUUA